This 209-nucleotide long non-coding RNA is filed under the name Lathyrus oleraceus (garden pea). RNAcentral's name for it is "Pisum sativum (pea) long non-coding RNA (PSAT_LNC024372)". Lineage: Eukaryota; Viridiplantae; Streptophyta; Magnoliopsida; Fabales; Fabaceae. The record is from RNAcentral.
AGAAAAAAAAGUUUGUAGAAACAUAUACUUCUACCGAAAAGAAAAAGAGAAAAGAAAUGAAAAAUGGAGAUGAGAUGAAAAGCACUUGCCUAAGUCAAAGACUCAUGCCAUAAUGAGAUACUCAAAGAAAGAAAAAUUGAGUGAAGAAAAAAAAAGAGUCAAGUUGGACAACACCCCAUGAAAUAAGUUGUGUACAAAGAAUAGAAACA